CAUUUACUGCUCCUUGUUCACGCAUCGCUGGAUUCUUAAGGUUCUUGCGACUACUUGCUGACUAUGAUUGGACCUUUUCUCCUUUGGUUGUUGACAUAAAUAAUGAUCUUACUCCGAUUGACAAGAAAGAGAUUUAUGAUAACUUUACACCGAGUAGAAAAGGUCAUGAAGAAAACGCACAGAACAUAAGCCCGUCAAUGUUCUUGGCAACAUCCUAUGACAAGGCAUCUGAAGCUUGGACCAGAUUUGCACCAAACUCACUGGAGCUUAAGAGGUUGGUGGCCUAUGCUCGUAGCAGUGCAAACCUGCUGACUAGACUUGUAUUGGAGGAUCAGACUGGUCCUUUGAAAUGGGAGUGCCUUUUCCGAACUCCUCUGAGCAACUAUGAUGCUGUAAUUCUUCUCCAUGCAGGCAGAUUACCUUAUCCUCAGCGUCUUCUCUUUCCAUCCAAUUCAAACCAAGGGAGACUUGUGGUUCAUGGGAAUGCAAGCAAAGCUUUUCAGCCCUUCAUGUUGCCUGGAGAUUUGAGGGGUAAUUCAGAGGAGCUCAAACAUAAGCUGAUGGUGAACUUUGAUCCUUUGAUGAGCUAUGUUGCAGAUUUACAGAAAGAGUUCAACACAUUUAAGUUGUGGUAUGAUUCUCUGGGAGGUGAUGCAAUUGGCCUGACGUGGGAAACAAAGAAACGAGGACGAGAUGAAGCAGGUGAAGGAGAAGAUCCAAUUAAAGUGUUAAAAGGUGUAGGUGAAGUUGGGAAAGGAUUUGUAAGGAGUGUAUAUUUUCUUAAGGCA
RNAcentral lists this unclassified non-coding RNA (788 nucleotides) under Hevea brasiliensis (rubber tree). Lineage: Eukaryota; Viridiplantae; Streptophyta; Magnoliopsida; Malpighiales; Euphorbiaceae. The record is from RNAcentral.